UCCACUUUAACACUGAGGCGUGAUGACGAGGCACUACGGUGCUGAAGCAACAAAUGCCCUGCUUCCAGGAAAAGCCUCUAAGCAUCAGGUAACAUCAAAUCGUACCCCAAACCGACACAGGUGGUCAGGUAGAGAAUACCAAGGCGCUUGAGAGAACUCGGGUGAAGGAACUAGGCAAAAUGGUGCCGUAACUUCGGGAGAAGGCACGCUGACACGUAGGUGAAGUGAUUUACUCACGGAGCUGAAGUCAGUCGAAGAUACCAGCUGGCUGCAACUGUUUAUUAAAAACACAGCACUGUGCAAACACGAAAGUGGACGUAUACGGUGUGACGCCUGCCCGGUGCCGGAAGGUUAAUUGAUGGGGUCAGCGCAAGCGAAGCUCCUGAUCGAAGCCCCGGUAAACGGCGGCCGUAACUAUAACGGUCCUAAGGUAGCGAAAUUCCUUGUCGGGUAAGUUCCGACCUGCACGAAUGGCGUAAUGAUGGCCAGGCUGUCUCCACCCGAGACUCAGUGAAAUUGAACUCGCUGUGAAGAUGCAGUGUACCCGCGGCAAGACGGAAAGACCCCGUGAACCUUUACUAUAGCUUGACACUGAACAUUGAGCCUUGAUGUGUAGGAUAGGUGGGAGGCUUUGAAGCGUGGACGCCAGUCUGCGUGGAGCCGACCUUGAAAUACCACCCUUUAAUGUUUGAUGUUCUAACGUGGACCCGUAAUCCGGGUUGCGGACAGUGUCUGGUGGGUAGUUUGACUGGGGCGGUCUCCUCCUAAAGAGUAACGGAGGAGCACGAAGGUUGGCUAAUCCUGGUCGGACAUCAGGAGGUUAGUGCAAUGGCAUAAGCCAGCUUGACUGCGAGCGUGACGGCGCGAGCAGGUGCGAAAGCAGGUCAUAGUGAUCCGGUGGUUCUGAAUGGAAGGGCCAUCGCUCAACGGAUAAAAGGUACUCCGGGGAUAACAGGCUGAUACCGCCCAAGAGUUCAUAUCGACGGCGGUGUUUGGCACCUCGAUGUCGGCUCAUCACAUCCUGGGGCUGAAGUAGGUCCCAAGGGUAUGGCUGUUCGCCAUUUAAAGUGGUACGCGAGCUGGGUUUAGAACGUCGUGAGACAGUUCGGUCCCUAUCUGCCGUGGGCGCUGGAGAACUGAGGGGGGCUGCUCCUAGUACGAGAGGACCGGAGUGGACGCAUCACUGGUGUUCGGGUUGUCAUGCCAAUGGCACUGCCCGGUAGCUAAAUGCGGAAGAGAUAAGUGCUGAAAGCAUCUAAGCACGAAACUUGCCCCGAGAUGAGUUCUCCCUGAGACUUAGAGUCUCCUGAAGGAACGUUGAAGACGACGACGUUGAUAGGCCGGGUGUGUAAGCGCAGCGAUGCGUUGAGCUAACCGGUACUAAUGAACCGUGAGGCUU
This 1399-nucleotide ribosomal RNA is filed under the name Salmonella enterica. RNAcentral's name for it is "partial 23S ribosomal RNA". It matches the Rfam family "Bacterial large subunit ribosomal RNA", at positions 1544 to 2925 of the family's 2925-position model. The record is from RNAcentral. Lineage: Bacteria; Pseudomonadati; Pseudomonadota; Gammaproteobacteria; Enterobacterales; Enterobacteriaceae.